Molecule: ribosomal RNA, 470 nt
Filed under: Dothiorella iberica
Lineage: Eukaryota; Fungi; Ascomycota; Dothideomycetes; Botryosphaeriales; Botryosphaeriaceae
Description: eukaryotic LSU rRNA
Rfam family: 5.8S ribosomal RNA (bases 100-253)
Source: RNAcentral
CGGGCCCGCGGUCGGCCUUGUGCCGUCCAGCACCCGCCAGAGGACCACAAAACUCCAGUCAGUGAACGUCUCAGUCUGAAAAACAAGUUAAUAAACUAAAACUUUCAACAACGGAUCUCUUGGUUCUGGCAUCGAUGAAGAACGCAGCGAAAUGCGAUAAGUAAUGUGAAUUGCAGAAUUCAGUGAAUCAUCGAAUCUUUGAACGCACAUUGCGCCCCUUGGUAUUCCGGGGGGCAUGCCUGUUCGAGCGUCAUUUCAACCCUCAAGCUCUGCUUGGUAUUGGGCUCCGUCCUCAGGGACGCGCCUCAAAGACCUCGGCGGUGGCGUCUUGCCUCAAGCGUAGUAGAAAACACCUCGCUUUGGAGCGCAUGGCGUCGCCCGCCGGACGAACCUUUGAAUUUUUUCUCAAGGUUGACCUCGGAUCAGGUAGGGAUACCCGCUGAACUUAAGCAUAUCAUAACCCCGGAAGG